GGCCUCAUAGCUCAGUUGGAUAGAGCGUUGGCUGUACUAUAGCCUUCCCCUUGCUGGCGUGGGUUGGAAUCCCACCGAGGACG
This is a non-coding RNA of Schistocephalus solidus, 83 nucleotides long. NCBI's taxonomy places the organism in Eukaryota, Metazoa, Platyhelminthes, Cestoda, Diphyllobothriidea, Diphyllobothriidae. The record is from Rfam.